Long non-coding RNA from Sapajus apella (tufted capuchin), 821 nucleotides. RefSeq lists it as uncharacterized. The transcript is spliced from 3 exons. NCBI's taxonomy places the organism in Eukaryota, Metazoa, Chordata, Mammalia, Primates, Cebidae. The record is from RefSeq and is a predicted model, not a curated record.
GCCUCCCUCAACUCUCGCGAGGCGUGGCGAGGCGUGGCGUCCCAGGGCCCGCGGAAGAGUUGUGUCCUGCCGGUGCUGAGCUGUUCCCUGCUCUAAGAUGUUUUCAAGGAAAGGACGUUAAAAUCCUGCCUUGCCGUUUUGUAUGUGUGGCUAAUCCUGGAGUCCGAGAAGCGAAAAAGGAAAAAACCUGAAAAAGUCUCAGGUCUUUGCAAUUUGAUGGAUGUAGACAUCAGUUCCAUGCCACUUGGACCUCUCCAUGGGACAUUUUAUAACAUGGCAACUGGCUUCUCUCAGAUGGCAGGAUGGAGGAGGUAAGAAAGAGCACCACAAAGGAAGCCACUGUUUUUGUGAUGAAAUGAUCUUCUAUCACUUUUACUGUAUUUUGUUCAUCAGAAACAGGUCACUGGGUCUGGGCCACCCUCAAGAGUAAGGAUUUACAUAAGGGUCUGAAUACCAGAAGGUGGAUUUCUUUGGUGACCAUCUUAUGAGAUACCAACCACAGAGAUGAUUAGUAUUUUUUUUUUUUAGCAUAUGCAUGCUAUAUAGAAUGUAUUUAACUACAGAGUGUAUAGAAACUGUAUUUAUAUAGUUCUUCCAGUAAGAGAAAAAUGAAAGACUUUUAAAAUCUCCAGAGAUUUGGCAAUCUUUGAAUGCACUUUAUUUGCUCAGCUUAAAAUUUGUCUCAGAUGACACGUUUUCAUUAAAGUUUCUGUUGUCUGUCUUUAAAAGAUAGAAAGAUUGGCCGGGUGCGAUGGCCCAUGCCUGUAAUACCAACACUCUGGGAGGCUGAAAUGGGUGGAUCAUCUGAGGUCAGGAGUUCA